RNAcentral lists this ribosomal RNA (157 nucleotides) under Pseudocercospora sp. Wil.2. Its description in RNAcentral is "5.8S ribosomal RNA". It matches the Rfam family "5.8S ribosomal RNA". Rfam says of the family: 5.8S ribosomal RNA (5.8S rRNA) is a component of the large subunit of the eukaryotic ribosome. It is transcribed by RNA polymerase I as part of the 45S precursor that also contains 18S and 28S rRNA. The record is from RNAcentral. Lineage: Eukaryota; Fungi; Ascomycota; Dothideomycetes; Mycosphaerellales; Mycosphaerellaceae.
CUUUCAACAACGGAUCUCUUGGUUCUGGCAUCGAUGAAGAACGCAGCGAAAUGCGAUAAGUAAUGUGAAUUGCAGAAUUCCGUGAAUCAUCGAAUCUUUGAACGCACAUUGCGCCCCUCGGUAUUCCGGGGGGCAUGCUUGUUCGAGCGUCAUUACA